RNAcentral lists this small RNA (589 nucleotides) under Oryza sativa Japonica Group (Japanese rice). RNAcentral describes it as "sRNA Os07g0434183". The record is from RNAcentral. Lineage: Eukaryota; Viridiplantae; Streptophyta; Magnoliopsida; Poales; Poaceae.
CAUGCACGCGAACCCAAGCGCGAGGCUGCCGGCCAGGGGAUCCAUUGCGUGGUCGUGGGCAAGGCUGCAAGAACCGAAGCUCGAGGCAAGAGCGUCCGCGAGAGAGUACUGAGCGGCGGCAGCGACUGAUCUGACUCCUCCAUUUCGCUUUCCACCAUGUCGUCCGCGUCCAUGGCAGGCGCCUGCUCCUUCCUGGUGGCAGCAGCGGGGAAGCCGCCGCGCCGGAGCUCCCUCCAGCGGUGCUUCAUGACGCGCGAGGUCCGGCCGUAGACGGCGCGGCCGAUCUCCUUCCAGCGGUCGCCGAGGCGGUAGUGGAGGCGUAGGAGCUCAUCGUCUUCGCGGGCGGUGAAGGGGCGGUGGUAGACGUCGCGGGCGAGGUGGUGGCGCCACCUGUCGCGGCACGACCUGGCUCCUAGCGACCCGGCUCCAGCGGCGGAAGCCGUUCUCCUUGGCGAGGCGCUGCAGCCGCGCGUCCUCCUCCGGCGUCCACGCCGGCAGCAGCUUGAGGCGGACGACGCACCUCGCGCGAGGCGGCGGCGUCAGCGGUGGCGUCGCCAUGAUCACCUCCUGAUCCAUCGCGACCUCUCAA